GCCAAGGAUGUUUUCAUUAAUCAGGAACGAAAGUUAGGGGAUCGAAGACGAUCAGAUACCGUCGUAGUCUUAACCAUAAACUAUGCCGACUAGGGAUCGGGCGGUGUUAUUUUUUGACCCGCUCGGCACCUUACACGAAAGUAAAGUUUUUGGGUUCUGGGGGGAGUAUGGUCGCAAGGCUGGAACUUAAAGAAAUUGACGGAAG
RNAcentral lists this ribosomal RNA (205 nucleotides) under Eucampia antarctica. Its description in RNAcentral is "partial Eukaryotic small subunit ribosomal RNA". It matches the Rfam family "Eukaryotic small subunit ribosomal RNA", at positions 957 to 1162 of the family's 1831-position model. Lineage: Eukaryota; Bacillariophyta; Thalassiosirophyceae; Eucampiales; Eucampiaceae. The record is from RNAcentral.